CCCUUAGAUGUUCUGGGCCGCACGCGCGCUACAAUGGUCUUCGCAAACGGAUGCAUUCUCGAAGGAGAAUGCCAAUCUUGGAAUCUAUGCCUUGGUCGGGACAGUUGCUAGCAAUUUUUCGACUCGAACCAGGAAUUCCUUGUAAUCGUGAUUCAUCACAUCACGAUGAAUACGUCCCUGCCCUUUGUACACACCGCCCGUCGCUCCUACCGAUCGAAGAGUUAGGUGAAUUGUUUUGAUCGAUAAGAUUUGACUAUGGUCAACUCUCGUUGUGAAAUUCUGUGAAUCUGACUGUUUAGAGGAAGGAAAAGUCGUAACA
Molecule: ribosomal RNA, 319 nt
Filed under: uncultured eukaryote
Lineage: Eukaryota
Description: partial 18S ribosomal RNA
Rfam family: Eukaryotic small subunit ribosomal RNA
Source: RNAcentral